UCGCUAACUAUACAUUUUUUGGAACAUUUACAGUCUUUACUUAUAAAUUGUAUAUUUUGGCAUUGCCGUAUAGAAAUUACCCGUCAAUAUUGUGCUAUAAGACCACUGAAACAAUGACAUUGUCCUGACUUUUCUUAUCUCACUAUAGAAUAUUUUUUUUUUCCUCUUUCCUUUCGUUAUUUAGGUUUCUCCUCCGCACCGACUACGUCCAGUCGAACUGGACCUUCGGUACAGACCUCCCCUACCGGAGCCCCCAGUCAAUGGGCUACAGUUGUAAUCAUCCGGAUGCCGUCUGCGUAACUCCAAGUAUCUGUGUCGGGCGUCGCAGUAAUGAAGAAGC
RNAcentral lists this unclassified non-coding RNA (340 nucleotides) under Athalia rosae (coleseed sawfly). RNAcentral describes it as "misc RNA ENSAEAG00005009544.1". Lineage: Eukaryota; Metazoa; Arthropoda; Insecta; Hymenoptera; Athaliidae. The record is from RNAcentral.